RNAcentral lists this ribosomal RNA (253 nucleotides) under uncultured bacterium. RNAcentral's name for it is "partial 16S ribosomal RNA". It matches the Rfam family "Bacterial small subunit ribosomal RNA", at positions 524 to 776 of the family's 1533-position model. The record is from RNAcentral.
UACAGAGGGUGCAAGCGUUAAUCGGAAUUACUGGGCGUAAAGCGUGCGUAGUCGGUUAUCUAAGUCAGGUGUGAAAUCCCCGGGCUCAACCUGGGAACUGCGUUUGAAACUGGGAGACUUGAGUGUGGCAGAGGGGGGUGGAAUUCCACGUGUAGCAGUGAAAUGCGUAGAUAUGUGGAGGAACACCGAUGGCGAAGGCAGCCCCCUGGGUUAACACUGACGCUCAUGCACGAAAGCGUGGGGAGCAAACAGG